RNAcentral lists this transfer RNA (71 nucleotides) under Hirsutella minnesotensis. Its description in RNAcentral is "tRNA-Gly". It matches the Rfam family "tRNA". From Rfam's summary of the family: Transfer RNA (tRNA) molecules are approximately 80 nucleotides in length. Their secondary structure includes four short double-helical elements and three loops (D, anti-codon, and T loops). RNAcentral also lists the same sequence under 1 other name. The record is from RNAcentral. Lineage: Eukaryota; Fungi; Ascomycota; Sordariomycetes; Hypocreales; Ophiocordycipitaceae.
ACGGGUAUAGGUUAAUGGUAGACCUAUCGUUUUCCACGCGAAUUGUGUCAGUUCGAGUCUGACUACCCGUA